RNAcentral lists this ribosomal RNA (489 nucleotides) under uncultured bacterium. Its description in RNAcentral is "partial 16S ribosomal RNA". It matches the Rfam family "Bacterial small subunit ribosomal RNA", at positions 28 to 507 of the family's 1533-position model. The record is from RNAcentral.
GACGAACGCUGGCGGCGUGCUUAACACAUGCAAGUCGAACGGUGAAGGGAUCAGCUUGCUGGUUCUGGAUGAGUGGCGAACGGGUGAGUAACACGUGAGUAACCUGCCCCCUUCUUCUGGAUAACCGCAUGAAAGUGUGGCUAAUACGGGAUAUUCUGGGUCUGUCGCAUGAUGGGUCUGGGAAAGAUAUUGUUUCGGUGGGGGAUGGGCUCGCGGCCUAUCAGCUUGUUGGUGGGGUGAUGGCCUACCAAGGCGGUGACGGGUAGCCGGCCUGAGAGGGUGGACGGUCACACUGGGACUGAGACACGGCCCAGACUCCUACGGGAGGCAGCAGUGGGGAAUAUUGCACAAUGGGCGCAAGCCUGAUGCAGCGACGCCGCGUGAGGGAUGGAGGCCUUCGGGGUGUAAACCUCUUUCGCCAGUGAAGCAGGCCUGCUCCGUGUGGGUGGGUUGACGGUAGCUGGAUAAGAAGCGCCGGCUAACUACGUG